RNAcentral lists this ribosomal RNA (468 nucleotides) under uncultured bacterium. Its description in RNAcentral is "partial 16S ribosomal RNA". It matches the Rfam family "Bacterial small subunit ribosomal RNA", at positions 28 to 507 of the family's 1533-position model. The record is from RNAcentral.
GACGAACGCUGGCGGCGUGCUUAACACAUGCAAGUCGAACGGAAAGGCCCUGCUUUUGUGGGGUGCUCGAUUGGCGAACGGGUGAGUAACACGUGAGUAACCUGCCCUUGACUUUGGGAUAACUUCAGGAAACUGGGGCUAAUACCGGAUAGGAGCUCCUGCUGCAUGGUGGGGGUUGGAAAGUUUCGGCGGUUGGGGAUGGACUCGCGGCUUAUCAGCUUGUUGGUGGGGUAGUGGCUUACCAAGGCUUUGACGGGUAGCCUGCCUGAGAGGGUGACCGGCCACAUUGGGACUGAGAGACGGCCCAGACUCCUACGGGAGGCAGCAGUGGGGAAUAUGGCACAAUGGGCGGAAGCCUGAUGCAGCAACGCCGCGUGCGGGAUGACGGCCUUCGGGUUGUAAACCGCUUUCGCCUGUGACGAAGCGUGAGUGACGGUAAUGGGUAAAGAAGCACCGGCUAACUACGUG